RNAcentral lists this transfer RNA (84 nucleotides) under Caudoviricetes sp. RNAcentral describes it as "tRNA-Leu". It matches the Rfam family "tRNA". Rfam says of the family: Transfer RNA (tRNA) molecules are approximately 80 nucleotides in length. Their secondary structure includes four short double-helical elements and three loops (D, anti-codon, and T loops). Further hydrogen bonds mediate the characteristic L-shaped molecular structure. tRNAs have two regions of fundamental functional importance: the anti-codon, which is responsible for specific mRNA codon recognition, and the 3' end, to which the tRNAs corresponding amino acid is attached (by aminoacyl-tRNA synthetases). tRNAs cope with the degeneracy of the genetic code in two manners: having more than one tRNA (with a specific anti-codon) for a particular amino acid; and 'wobble' base-pairing, i.e. permitting non-standard base-pairing at the 3rd anti-codon position. Lineage: Duplodnaviria; Heunggongvirae; Uroviricota; Caudoviricetes. The record is from RNAcentral.
GCGGAUGUGGUGGAAUUGGUAGACACCUCGGAUUUAGAUUCCGAUGCUUUAUGCGUGAGAGUUCGAGUCUCUCCAUCCGUACCA